CCACAAUCACCAGCUGACCAUGAUAUUAUUUACUGAAACAUCUUAAGUAAAAGUCUGCAAAGCUAUCAGUUUAUAAGUAACAGACAGGGAGCUGGGAAUAUUAAUUUUUUUUUUUUAAUAAAUGUGCUUUUGUUCACAAAAAAGUGAAAAAAAGGACAACAUCAACUCAGACAUACAUUAUCUGGUGUGCUACUCUCCCACUCCUUGGCAACCAUGAUAUAAUAACACCUGAUCUAGUCAUGAUCCUGAAGAAUUUAACAAAAAGAUCAUCAGUUGCUUUUAAAACUCAAAUACUCGGACAAUCCUGUAUUCAACAAUGCCUAGAAGGCAUGACUAUCCCUCUGAAUUUUCAUACCCACAUGAAGUCAUUCUGAAAGUACCUAUAUAAUAAAACUAUUACAUUUUUUCAAAGGCUCCUAUAUAACAUUACAUAUAUCCUGACCACCAAGCCAUAGGAAUGGAUUAAUUUCAACACUUAAAACACUUAAAUGGCUUUUGUGGAACACGUAUUAGUUUGAAUUCUGUGCCAUCUCUGAAUAAAUGGUAAAUUCAGAGUAACAAAUGAUAUUCAUGAAUUCAAACACAUUUACACUAGAUGGUAAUAAGGUUGUAGACAACUUGAAAGUACUAAUUAAAAUACACCAUGCACACUUUGGAGCAUAAGCAAAAUCAGCAACAUAUGUAAACAAUUUCAAGAAUGUAUAGCACCAACAUUUUAGCUGUAACAUAACUGCUGACUCUAAAGCCAUGCUAACAUAACAUUCCUUUCUCCUAAGAUAUUUUGUUUACUUUCAAAGCGCUUUAAAACAUGUUAUUUUGUUUUCUUUGCUCUUGUAACUGAACUGAGUGAAAUCAAAGAAAAUGAGUAUGGCAGUGUAGGCACUCUGACCACAAUGUAGUUUUGCAAUUAUCCUAAAUUCAGCACUCCUUUUGGUUACAAGAGAUGACUGCAGAGCUUCACUAGAAAGAAAAGUCAGUCUUAAUUUGAGUAAUAUUAUGUUACCUAGAAAAAGUGAAUUAUUCCAAAUGAUAUUCUACCAAUUUCAACAACAUACAUUUUAGAGAAAUAACAUUUUAA
Molecule: long non-coding RNA, 1078 nt
Filed under: Sarcophilus harrisii (Tasmanian devil)
Lineage: Eukaryota; Metazoa; Chordata; Mammalia; Dasyuromorphia; Dasyuridae
Description: lncRNA (ENSSHAG00000021212.1)
Source: RNAcentral